This 396-nucleotide ribosomal RNA is filed under the name uncultured bacterium. RNAcentral's name for it is "partial 16S ribosomal RNA". It matches the Rfam family "Bacterial small subunit ribosomal RNA", at positions 355 to 762 of the family's 1533-position model. The record is from RNAcentral.
UGGGGAAUAUUGCACAAUGGGCGAAAGCCUGAUGCAGCGACGCCGCGUGAGGGAUGACGGCCUUCGGGUUGUAAACCUCUUUCAGCAGGGAAGAAGCGAAAGUGACGGUACCUGCAGAAGAAGCGCCGGCUAACUACGUGCCAGCAGCCGCGGUAAUACGUAGGGCGCAAGCGUUGUCCGGAAUUAUUGGGCGUAAAGAGCUCGUAGGCGGUUAGUCGCGUCUGCUGUGAAAACUCGAGGCUCAACCUCGGGCUUGCAGUGGGUACGGGCUGACUAGAGUGCGGUAGGGGAUGACUGGAAUUCCUGGUGUAGCGGUGGAAUGCGCAGAUAUCAGGAGGAACACCGAUGGCGAAGGCAGGUCACUGGGCCGCAACUGACGCUGAGGAGCGAAAGCAU